UCUUUUCCUUUUUUUCCAGCCGCCGCGGUAAUACGUAGGGAGCGAGCGUUGUCCGGAAUUACUGGGUGUAAAGGGAGCGUAGGCGGGACGGCAAGUCAGAUGUGAAAACUAUGGGCUCAACCCAUAGACUGCAUUUGAAACUGUUGUUCUUGAGUGAGGUAGAGGUAAGCGGAAUUCCUGGUGUAGCGGUGAAAUGCGUAGAGAUCAGGAGGAACAUCGGUGGCGAAGGCGGCUUACUGGGCCUUUACUGACGCUGAGGCUCGAAAGCGUGGGGAGCAAACAGG
Molecule: ribosomal RNA, 284 nt
Filed under: Ruminococcus callidus
Lineage: Bacteria; Bacillati; Bacillota; Clostridia; Eubacteriales; Oscillospiraceae
Description: partial 16S ribosomal RNA
Rfam family: Bacterial small subunit ribosomal RNA
Source: RNAcentral